UAGGGAAUAUUAGUAAAGGGCGAAAGCCUGAACUAGCAACACCGCGUGUGCGAAGAAGGCCUUCGGGUAGUAAAGCACUUUUUGAGAGGAUGAGGAAGGACGGUACUCUCAGAAUAAGUCUAGGCUGACUACGUGCCAGCAGCCGCGGCAACACGCAGGAGGCAAACGUUAUCCGGAUUUACUGGGCGUAAAGCGCGUGUAGGUGGUUUGGUAAGUAGUGCGUGAAAGCUCCUGGCUCAACCGGGGGAGGUCGUUCUAAACUGCCGGACUAGAGGAUGGUAGAGGGGGAUGGAAUUCCGGGUGUAGCGGUGGAAUGCGCAGAUAUCCGGAGGAACACCAGUGGCGAAAGCGGCCUCCUGGCCCAUUGCUGACGCUCAGGCACGAAAGCUAAGGUAGCAAACG
Molecule: ribosomal RNA, 402 nt
Filed under: uncultured prokaryote
Description: bacterial SSU rRNA
Rfam family: Bacterial small subunit ribosomal RNA
Source: RNAcentral